GCAAGGGCUGCUAAGGAUUAGCAUAACACAAAAAUCCCCAUAAACAUCUGUCGGUUUAAGCUGUGUCGCACCUCCGCAUCUGUGGUGAAAAGUGACAGCGCUAUCGCGGUGUCUGACCAUGAGACUUCCUGAAAAUCGGUCUGUAGCAACCCCUCUGUGGAAAGAUGAGACUCUCACAAACACAAUGUGCUCUGUUCUACGACCCACAUGCGUCUUGGGACUGAAGUCGGUACAGCCGAUCUGCCAACUUCUGUCUGUAGCGUCUGAACGGCCUCAGUCGCAUUGUUCUCAAGAGUCUGGGGAAGUUCAUAUUGGAAAGGUCCCAAGAAACAAAGAGAUCUUCUGUUGAAUCUGACAAUCAAUCUUAAUGGUUGUACAGUCGUCUCAAAUAAAACUGUGAAGGACCUCGGCGCUACUCUGGACCCUGAUCUCUAUUUUGAAGAACAUAUCAAGACCAUUUCAAGGCCAGCUUUUUUCCAUCUACGUAACAUUGCAAAAAUCAGAAACUUUCUGUCCAAAAAUGAUGCAGAAAAAUUAAUCCAUGCUUUUGUCACUUCUAGGUUAGACUACUGCAAUGCUCUACUUUCCGGCUACCCGGAUAAAGCACUAAAUAAAUUUCAGUUAGUGCUAAAUACGGCUGCUAGAAUCCUGACUAGAACCAAAACAUUUGAUCAUAUUACUCCAGUGCUAGCCUCCCUACACUGGCUUCCUGUCAAAGCAAGGGCUGAUUUCAAGGUUUUACUGCUAACCUACAAAGCAUUACAUGGGCUUGCUCCUACCUAUCUCUCUGAUUUGGUCCUGCCGUACAUACCUACACGUACGCUACGGUCACAAGACGCAGGCCUCCUAAUUGUCCCUAGAAUUUCUAAGCAAACAGCUGGAGGCAGGGCUUUCUCCUAUAGAGCUCCAUUUUUAUGGAAUGGUCUGCCUACCCAUGUCAGAGACGCAAACUCGGUCUCAACCUUUACUGAAGACUCAUCUCUUCAGUGGGUCAUAUGAUUGAGUGUAGUCUGGCCCAGGAGUGGGAAGGUGAACGGAAAGGCUCUGGAGCAACGAACCGCCCUUGCUGUCUUUGCCUGGCCGGUUCCCCUCUUUCCACCGGGAUUCUCUGCCUCUAACCCUAUUACAGGGGCUGAGUCACUGGCUUACUGGGGCUCUCUCAUGCUGUCCCUGGAAGGGGUGCGUCACCUGAGUGGGUUGAUUCACUGAUGUGGUCAUCCUGUCUGGGUUGGCGCCCCCCCUUGGGUUGUGCCAUGGCGGAGAUCUUUGUGGGCUAUACUCAGCCUUGUCUCAGGAUGGUAAAUUGGUGGUUGAAGAUAUCCCUCUAGUGGUGUGGGGACUGUGCUUUGGCAAAGUGGGUGGGGUUAUAUCCUUCCUGUUUGGCCCUGUCCUCGGAUGGGGCCACAGUGUCUCCUGACCCCUCCUGUUUCAGCCUCCAGUAUUUAUGCUGCAGUAGUUUAUGUGUCGGGGGGCUAGGGUCAGUUUGUUAUAUCUGGAGUACUUCUCCUGUCCUAUUCGGUGUCCUGUGUGAAUCUAAGUGUGCGUUCUCUAAUUCUCUCCUUCUCUCUUUCUUUCUCUCUCUCGGAGGACCUGAGCCCUAGGACCAUGCCCCAGGACUACCUGACAUGAUGACUCCUUGCUGUCCCCAGUCCACCUGGCCAUGCUGCUGCUCCAGUUUCAACUGUUCUGCCUUAUUAUUAUUCGACCAUGCUGGUCAUUUAUGAACAUUUGAACAUCUUGGCCAUGUUCUGUUAUAAUCUCCACCCGGCACAGCCAGAAGAGGACUGGCCACCCCACAUAGCCUGGUUCCUCUCUAGGUUUCUUCCUAGGUUUUGGCCUUUCUAGGGAGUUUUUCCUAGCCACCGUGCUUCUACACCUGCAUUGCUUGCUGUUUGGGGUUUUAGGCUGGGUUUCUGUACAGCACUUUGAGAUAUCAGCUGAUGUACGGAGGGCUAUAUAAAUACAUUUGAUUUGAUAUCGUUUUGAAUCAAUUUUGUAUAUAAUUUGGUUGAAAAUGACACUACCCAAAGUGGGCACAUGUGAAAAUGAUUGGCUUUCGGAGUCAACUCUCCGCCUUCGUUCAUAGCCAUGGGAAUUAGGGGUUCUGAGGGUGCUGUCUAUAAUAUAUCCUGUUGCCUAGUCACUUUACACCUACCUAUAUGUACAGUUGAAGUCAGAAGUUUACAUACACUUAGGUUGGAGUCAUUUAAAAAAAUAAAAAAUGUAACCACUCCACAAAUUUCUUGUUAACAAACUAUAGUUUUGGCAAGUCCGUUAUGACAUCUACUUUUGUGCAUGACAACUAAUUUUUCCAACAAUUGUUUACAGACAGAUUAUUUAACUUAUAAUUCACUGUAUCACAAUUCCUGUGGGUCAGAAGUUUACAUACACUAAGUUGAGUUCCAGAUAAUGAUGUCAUGGCUUUAGAAGCUUCUGGUAGGCUAAUUGACAUAAUUUGAGUCAAUUGGAGGUGUACCUGUGGAUGUAUUUCAAGGCCUACCUUCAAACUCAGUGCCUCUCUGCUUGACAUCAUGGGAAAAAUCUAAAGAAAUCAGCCAAGACCUCAGAAAAGAAAUUGUAGACCUCCACGAAUCUGGUUCAUCCAUGGGAGCAAUUUCCAAACAUCUGAAGGUACCACGCUCAUCUGUACAAACAAUAGUACGCAAGUAUAAACACCAUGGGACCACACAGCCGUCAUACCGCAUGGGGACAAGGAUCAUAAUUUUUGGAGAAAUAUAAUCUGGUCUGAUGAGACAAAAAUAGAACUGUUUGGUCAUAAUGACCAUCAUUAUGUUUGGAGGAAAAUGGGGGAGGCUUGCAAGCCGAAGAACACCAUCCCAAUCGUGAAGCAUGGGGAUGGCAGCAUCAUGUUGUGGGGGGUGCUUUGCUGCAGGAGAGACUGGUGCACUUCACAAAAUAGAUGGCAUCAUGAGAGGGGAAAUUUUGUAUAUAUUGAAGUAACAUCUCAAGAAAUCAGUUAAAGCUUGGUCGCAAAUAAGUCUUCCAAAUGGACCCCAAGCAAGCUUCCAAAUUUAUGUCAAAAUCGCCUAAGGCCAACAAAGUCAAGGUAUUGGAGUGGCCUAUCACAAAGCCCUGACCUCAAACCUAUAGAAAAUAUGUCGGCAGAACUGAAAAAGUGUGUGAAAGCAAGGAGGCCUACAAACCUGACUCAGUUACACCAGUUCUGUCAGGAGGAAAGGGCCAAAAUUCACCCAACUUAUUGUGUGAAGCUUGUGGAAGGCUACCCAAAACAUUUGACCCAAGUUAAACCAUUUAAAGGCAAUGCUACCAAAUAAUAAUUGAGUGUAUGUAAACUUCUGACCCACUGGGACUGUGAUGAAAGAAAUAAAAGCUGAAAAAUAUUUCACAUUCUUAAAAUAAAGUGGUGAUCCUAACUGACCUAAGACAGGGAAUGUUUUACUGGGAUUAAAUGUCAGGAAAUGUGAAAAACUGAGUUUAAAUGUAUUUGGAUAAGGUGUAUGUAAAUUUCCGACUUCAACUGUACAUUCUGUAGCUACCUCAGUUACCUUGUACCCCUGCACAUCGACUCAGUACUGGUACUUCUUGUAUAUAGCCAAGUUAUUGUUAUUCUUUAUUCACUGUGUAUUUAUUCCUUGUGUCAUUAUUUCUAUUUGCAUUGUUGGAAAAUGACCUGUAAGUAAGCAUUUCAAUGUUGUUUAUGAAGCA
Molecule: long non-coding RNA, 3687 nt
Organism: Oncorhynchus nerka (sockeye salmon)
Lineage: Eukaryota; Metazoa; Chordata; Actinopteri; Salmoniformes; Salmonidae
Exons: 3
Source: RefSeq, a predicted model, not a curated record